GCUUACGGCCAUACCACCCUGAACACGCCCGAUCUCGUCCGAUCUCGGAAGCUAAGCACGGUCGGGCCUGGUUAGUACUUGGAUGGGAGACCGCCUGGGAAUACCAGGUGCUGUAAGCU
Ribosomal RNA from Dicentrarchus labrax (European seabass), 119 nucleotides. NCBI's taxonomy places the organism in Eukaryota, Metazoa, Chordata, Actinopteri, Moronidae. The record is from Ensembl.